RNAcentral lists this unclassified non-coding RNA (211 nucleotides) under soil metagenome. RNAcentral's name for it is "partial contains small subunit ribosomal RNA, internal transcribed spacer 1, and 5.8S ribosomal RNA". The record is from RNAcentral.
UCUCCGUUGGUGAACCAGCGGAGGGAUCAUUAAAGAGUUGCAAAACUCCAACCCCUGUGAACCUUACCUGUACGUUGCUUCGGCGGCCGACGCCACGCCCAGCCGGGCCUGGGGGACGCCGCCGGAGGGUCUCCAAACUCUUGUUUUUUUAGGCAUCUCUGAGUAGCUUAUAAAUAAGUUAAAACUUUCAACAACGGAUCUCUUGGUUCUG